GAUGAACGCUGGCGGCGUGCUUAACACAUGCAAGUCGAACGGAAAGGCCCAAGCUUGCUUGGGUACUCGAGUGGCGAACGGGUGAGUAACACGUGGGUGAUCUGCCCUGCAUUUCGGGAUAAGCCUGGGAAACUGGGUCUAAUACCGGAUAGGACGAUGGUUUGGAUGCCAUUGUGGAAAGUUUUUUCGGUGUGGGAUGAGCUCGCGGCCUAUCAGCUUGUUGGUGGGGUAAUGGCCUACCAAGGCGUCGACGGGUAGCCGGCCUGAGAGGGUGUACGGCCACAUUGGGACUGAGAUACGGCCCAGACUCCUACGGGAGGCAGCAGUGGGGAAUAUUGCACAAUGGGCGCAAGCCUGAUGCAGCGACGCCGCGUGGGGGAUGACGGCCUUCGGGUUGUAAACUCCUUUCGCUAGGGACGAAGCGUUUUUGUGACGGUACCUGGAGAAGAAGCACCGGCUAACUACGUG
This 468-nucleotide ribosomal RNA is filed under the name uncultured bacterium. RNAcentral describes it as "partial 16S ribosomal RNA". It matches the Rfam family "Bacterial small subunit ribosomal RNA", at positions 28 to 507 of the family's 1533-position model. The record is from RNAcentral.